AGAGUUUGAUCCUGGCUCAGGAUGAACGCUGGCGGCGUGCUUAACACAUGCAAGUCGAACGGGAAUGCCACGCUGAUGCGAUUUCGGUCAAAUCAUGUGGCAUUCGAGUGGCGGACGGGUGAGUAACGCGUGGGUAACCUGCCUUACACAGGGGGAUAACACCUGGAAACAGGUGCUAAUACCGCAUAAGCGCACAGGGCCGCAUGGCCCGGUGUGAAAAACUCCGGUGGUGUAAGAUGGACCCGCGUCUGAUUAGCUUGUUGGCGGGGUAGGGGCCCACCAAGGCGACGAUCAGUAGCCGGCCUGAGAGGGUGGACGGCCACAUUGGGACUGAGACACGGCCCAAACUCCUACGGGAGGCAGCAGUGGGGGAUAUUGGACAAUGGGGGAAACCCUGAUCCAGCGACGCCGCGUGAGUGAAGAAGUAUUUCGGUAUGUAAAGCUCUGUCAGCAGGGAAGAAAGAAAUGACGGUACCUGACCAAGAAGCCCCGGCUAACUACGUGCCAGCAGCCGCGGUAAUACGUAGGGGGCAAGCGUUAUCCGGAAUUACUGGGUGUAAAGGGAGCGUAGACGGUGAUGCAAGUCUGGAGUGAAAGGCGGGGGCCCAACCCCCCGGACUGCUCUGGAAACUGUGUAACUUGAGUGCAGGAGGGGUAAGCGGAAUUCCUAGUGUAGCGGUGAAAUGCGUAGAUAUUAGGAGGAACACCAGUGGCCAAGGCGGCUUACUGGACUGUAACUGACGUUGAGGCUCGAAAGCGUGGGGAGCAAACAAAAAAAGAUACCCUGGUAGUCCACGCCGUAAA
RNAcentral lists this ribosomal RNA (804 nucleotides) under uncultured bacterium. RNAcentral describes it as "bacterial SSU rRNA". It matches the Rfam family "Bacterial small subunit ribosomal RNA", at positions 8 to 806 of the family's 1533-position model. The record is from RNAcentral.